GGUAUUCCAGCAGCUUACAAACGCGCUCUCCCCCUUUUCUCUCUUCAGUUCUGUGUGGGAAGCCUUAACAUUCCAAAAAUAGGUCUCUCUCCUUCUCCUCCAAUUUUGUUCAGGUCCAAUGUAAAGAAUUCGGCAUCUUUGAAACCCAAACUUCUUAUACAAAUUAUGGCCCUCCAGACUUGCCUCCAGCCACCCAGGGAUAUUCUCUUUAUCCGCAAUGUCAACGCCAUAUGGUAACAUUGCAGAGCCAGCACCAAGACCUUGGUGGGCAAUCUUGGUCGCGAGACAACCGAGUACUUUUUAUACUGUGAGAAAAAAUGGCAUGUGUCUGAAUCUGAGACUUGUCCUUCCCUAGAAAAUACAUGGGAAAGGGGGGAAGAACGUGCACGGAAAGGAAAAAAGGGCUCCAAUGGCAGAUGGCGAAACCC
Molecule: small RNA, 428 nt
Filed under: Histoplasma capsulatum var. duboisii H88
Lineage: Eukaryota; Fungi; Ascomycota; Eurotiomycetes; Onygenales; Ajellomycetaceae
Description: Histoplasma capsulatum H88 hypothetical RNA
Source: RNAcentral